This 446-nucleotide ribosomal RNA is filed under the name uncultured bacterium. RNAcentral describes it as "bacterial SSU rRNA". It matches the Rfam family "Bacterial small subunit ribosomal RNA", at positions 30 to 473 of the family's 1533-position model. The record is from RNAcentral.
AUUGAACGCUGGCGGCAUGCCUUACACAUGCAAGUCGAACGGCAGCACGGGAGCAAUCCUGGUGGCGAGUGGCGAACGGGUGAGUAAUAUAUCGGAACGUGCCCAGUCGUGGGGGAUAACGUAGCGAAAGCUACGCUAAUACCGCAUACGAUCUACGGAUGAAAGCGGGGGAUCGCAAGACCUCGCGCGAUUGGAGCGGCCGAUAUCAGAUUAGGUAGUUGGUGAGGUAAAGGCUCACCAAGCCGACGAUCUGUAGCUGGUCUGAGAGGACGACCAGCCACACUGGGACUGAGACACGGCCCAGACUCCUACGGAGGCAGCAGUGGGGAAUUUUGGACAAUGGGCGCAAGCCUGAUCCAGCAAUGCCGCGUGCAGGAUGAAGGCCUUCGGUGUAACUGCUUUGUACGGAACGAAACGGUAGAGCUCUAAUACAGUUGUCUAAUGAC